This 222-nucleotide ribosomal RNA is filed under the name uncultured bacterium. Its description in RNAcentral is "partial 16S ribosomal RNA". It matches the Rfam family "Bacterial small subunit ribosomal RNA", at positions 109 to 334 of the family's 1533-position model. The record is from RNAcentral.
AGUAAUGUCUGGGAAACUGCCUGAUGGAGGGGGAUAACUGCUGGAAACGGUAGCUAAUACCGCAUAACGUCGCAAGACCAAAGAGGGGGACCUUCAGGCCUCUUGCCAUCGGAUGUGCCCAGAUGGGAUUAGCUAGUAGGUGGGGUAACGGCUCACCUAGGCGACGAUCCCUAGCUGGUCUGAGAGGAUGGCCAGCCACACUGGAACUGAGACACGGUCCAG